UACGUAGGGUGCGAGCGUUGUCCGGAAUUAUUGGGCGUAAAGAGCUCGUAGGCGGUGUGUCACGUCGGCCGUGAAAACCUGCAGCUUAACUGUGGGCGUGCGGUCGAUACGGGCAGACUAGAGUGUGGUAGGGGAGAUCGGAAUUCCUGGUGUAGCGGUGAAAUGCGCAGAUAUCAGGAGGAACACCGGUGGCGAAGGCGGAUCUCUGGGCCAUUACUGACGCUGAGGAGCGAAAGCGUGGGGAGCGAACAGG
RNAcentral lists this ribosomal RNA (253 nucleotides) under uncultured bacterium. Its description in RNAcentral is "partial 16S ribosomal RNA". It matches the Rfam family "Bacterial small subunit ribosomal RNA", at positions 524 to 776 of the family's 1533-position model. The record is from RNAcentral.